AUUGAACGCUGGCGGCAGGCCUAACACAUGCAAGUCGAGCGAGCGGCGGACGGGUGAGUAAUGUAUGGGGAACUGCCCGAUAGAGGGGGAUAACUACUGGAAACGGUAGCUAAUACCGCAUACAAUCGGAUGAGCCCAUAUGGGCUUAGCUAGUGGGUGGGGUAAAGGCUCACCAAGGCGACGAUCCCUAGCUGGUCUGAGAGGAUGACCAGCCACACUGGAACUGAGACACGGCCCAGACUCCUACGGGAGGCAGCAGUGGGGAAUAUUGCACAAUGGGCGCAAGCCUGAUGCAGCCAUGCCGCGUGUAUGAAGAAGGCCUUAGGGUUGUAAAGUACUUUCAGCGGGGAGGCGUUACCCGCAGAAGAAGCACCGGCUAACUCCGUGCCAGCAGCCGCGGUAAUAC
RNAcentral lists this ribosomal RNA (406 nucleotides) under uncultured bacterium. RNAcentral's name for it is "partial 16S ribosomal RNA". It matches the Rfam family "Bacterial small subunit ribosomal RNA", at positions 30 to 526 of the family's 1533-position model. The record is from RNAcentral.